GACGAACGCUGGCGGCGUGCUUAACACAUGCAAGUCGAACGGAAAGGCCCUGCUUUUGUGGGGUGCUCGAGUGGCGAACGGGUGAGUAACACGUGAGUAACCUGCCCUUGACUUUGGGAUAACUUCAGGAAACUGGGGCUAAUACCGGAUAGGAGCUCCUGCUGCAUGGUGGGGGUUGGAAAGUUUCGGCGGUUGGGGAUGGACUCGCGGCUUAUCAGCUUGUUGGUGGGGUAGUGGCUUACCAAGGCUUUGACGGGUAGCCGGCCUGAGAGGGUGACCGGCCACAUUGGGACUGAGAUACGGCCCAGACUCCUACGGGAGGCAGCAGUGGGGAAUAUUGCACAAUGGGCGGAAGCCUGAUGCAGCAACGCCGCGUGCGGGAUGACGGCUUUCGGGUUGUAAACCGCUUUCGCCUGUGACGAAGCGUGAGUGACGGUAAUGGGUAAAGAAGCACCGGCUAACUACGUG
This 468-nucleotide ribosomal RNA is filed under the name uncultured bacterium. RNAcentral's name for it is "partial 16S ribosomal RNA". It matches the Rfam family "Bacterial small subunit ribosomal RNA", at positions 28 to 507 of the family's 1533-position model. The record is from RNAcentral.